AGGGGAAAUGGCACAAGAAACAGAAGCCUGGAAAAGAAGUGGAAUGAAUACAAAGCAAAGAAAGUGCAGAGAAAAAACUACUGAAGGCUCCUGCCCAUCCUAAACUACAAUGCAAACAAUGCUACACUUUUUGGAACAAUUUCACCUACUCUUGUUCAAAUCACAUGCAGAGAAACAUAUAGGCUAGGAGACACUUUUUAGGAUCUGUAUGUACUUAUUUCCUUCCCAAUCGCUUCUCAGAAAGCCAAUCCUUUCCUAAGAGGCAGUUUUCCUUAUUCUUCAGUCAGACAGGUGCUUGCCACAACGUUGGAGGUACUGAAACAGAACAAGCCAAGAUCCUAUUUCCUGGCAAAGGGAAAACAAAAUGAAAGGCACUGACAUGGGGCUUUGAGGACAGUUGAGAUCUUUCUUGUUUUGCUUGGGAAUUCUUGCUUGGCCCUGAUGGUUCACUUUCUUCUUCAGUUGCUUACAUGUAAACAAUUGCACAACCAGUCGUAAGACUGCUGAUCAGAACAGUUACACACACUUAGCACACAAGCAGUGCUGGGAUGAGACUGCUGAAAAUUAGAUCCACUUAUGACUGGCCCCACAGCUGGAUGCUAUAGGCCUUGUCUACACAAGGUUGCUUUUUUGGGUUCCCUCCCACGCAGUAUGACUACAGGCUCUAAAAGAAACUGAUUUCUACUGAUAGGACUCUUCCUCACUUUGUGUCACAUCCUCUCUCUUCAUCGCUCCAGCUGUGAAUGAACUCAUGCACAAGGCAUCAACAAUCUUAGCAUUUAGAUACACUCAGCAACUGAUAUUAAAAAUCAUUUUGAAUCUACAGCAUUUAAUCUCAUUCUACAUUUAAAUCAGCUUGGAACUACACAAUUUAAUUGCCUUCAAUCAAUUUUUGCUUUUCUUUUCAGGCUGAGCACAUGGAAAAGAUACAUGAAUGCUUCACCUGGCAGCCAGCUUGUGGUUCCAGCACAGGGAUCCAUUGUGACUUCAUUAGGACUUCAAAUAAAUGUUAACAGUGUGCUGGUGUGAGCCAUUAAUUUCAACAAAGCUACAGAUUUACACUUGUAAAGGAGAAGAGGACUGAUGCUGUCAGUGGUAAUGAUAUACAGUGAAGAAAGGUAAACCUUCUUUGUUCUGAAACUGGCUCCAGAAAACUGCCGCUCUAAAUGUAUACUUUAAACCUGAGAUUACUGUGGUUUAUCACUGGGUAAAGUUGCUUAAAUAUUUAAAAUGGCCUCUGCCAAGCAAAACAGGAUGCAUAAAAGACCCUAUCUUGUUUCGGGUGACUGGAAUUUCUUUUCUUUUGGUGCUGUCUGUCUGUUUAUUUGUUUGGAAAAAAAAAAUUUUUGAAACAGCUAACCUGGAGAGGGUAUAGCCCAGCAGGGAGAUCUCUUCUUCCAGCUGAUGUAAC
RNAcentral lists this long non-coding RNA (1411 nucleotides) under Struthio camelus australis. RNAcentral's name for it is "lncRNA (ENSSCUG00000016728.1)". The record is from RNAcentral. Lineage: Eukaryota; Metazoa; Chordata; Aves; Struthioniformes; Struthionidae.